RNAcentral lists this ribosomal RNA (492 nucleotides) under uncultured bacterium. RNAcentral describes it as "partial 16S ribosomal RNA". It matches the Rfam family "Bacterial small subunit ribosomal RNA", at positions 29 to 507 of the family's 1533-position model. The record is from RNAcentral.
AGUGAACGCUGGCGGUAGGCCUAACACAUGCAAGUCGAACGGCAGCACAGUAAGAGCUUGCUCUUACGGGUGGCGAGUGGCGGACGGGUGAGGAAUACAUCGGAAUCUACUUUUUCGUGGGGGAUAACGUAGGGAAACUUACGCUAAUACCGCAUACGACCUACGGGUGAAAGCAGGGGACCUUCGGACCUUGCGCGAUUGAAUGAGCCGAUGUCGGAUUAGCUAGUUGGCGGGGUAAAGGCCCACCAAGGCGACGAUCCGUAGCUGGUCUGAGAGGAUGAUAGGCCACACUGGAACUGAGACACGGUCAAGACGCCUACGGGAGGGAGCAGUGGGGAAUAUUGGACAAUGGGCGCAAGCCUGAUCCAGCCAUACCGCGUGGGUGAAGAAGGCCUUCGGGUUGUAAAGCCCUUUUGUUGGGAAAGAAAAGCAGCAGGUUAAUACCCCGCUGUUCUGACGGUACCCAAAGAAUAAGCACCGGCUAACUUCGUG